Molecule: ribosomal RNA, 254 nt
Filed under: Myxozyma sirexii
Lineage: Eukaryota; Fungi; Ascomycota; Lipomycetes; Lipomycetales; Lipomycetaceae
Description: partial small subunit ribosomal RNA
Rfam family: Bacterial small subunit ribosomal RNA
Source: RNAcentral
AGGUCUAAAGGGUUCGUAGACAGUAUAAUAAAUUAUUAGAAAUAAUAAAAUUGUUAAACUAGAGUAAUAUUAAAGAAAUUAGUAUUUUAUAAGUAAAGGUUGAAUUUAAAUAAAUAAAAGACUACACAGCGAAAGCAUGUUUCUGAAUAUAUACUGACGUUGAGGGACUAAAGCUAGGGUAGCAAAGCGGAUUCGAUACCCGCGUAGUCCUAGCCAUAAACGAUGAAUGCUAAUUAAAUUAUUUAUUUAAUAAA